RNAcentral lists this long non-coding RNA (2247 nucleotides) under Helianthus annuus (common sunflower). The record is from RNAcentral. Lineage: Eukaryota; Viridiplantae; Streptophyta; Magnoliopsida; Asterales; Asteraceae.
UUAAAAGUCUCAAACAAAACCCUAUAUUUUUUUCAUUUUUUUCUCAUUCUACCCCUGCUCUCCCUACCCCUGUUAUAUGAAACCCUAAUUGAAAUUGAAUAUUAUCAUUAACACAGUCGUUCCCUUUACCCUCCCCUGAGCAGGCUAGCACCCUUCAACGGCCGGAGAAAUCAAGGGUCCUAUAUUAAACCCAUUUUCCGUUAUAGAUUUGCGCCUAUAUAUGAGCUAUUAUCGCUGCCGUUCACGGAGGAGGAGAGAGACGCUCAGAAGCCAGACAAAACACCGGCCGUUGCACGCCUGCACCCAUGUUCCAGUGUUCCAGUUGUAAAUCGGAACUAUCCAUCAGACAAGUUCGAAAUCAAAGCCAUUUGAUCCAUUUAAGGUGUUUGUAUAGUGGAUCUCACCCUUUUGAGGACUAAAAUGUAAUUUCCUCCCUGGUUUUAAGACGGCAGCCCAGUAGACAUACCUUUUACCCUGAUUCUUCAUCCUUAUCUCCCAAAAUUGCCCCCAAUUCAAUAUCUUUAGCCUACAUGAUUCUUGCACAACGAACUAUUCAUCCCAACAGUCGGUGUACAUUGAAGACGCCAAUUGAUGAAAGUGUAAAUUGAAGGCGCCGAUUGAUGAUUGAAACGGUGGCAACAGUUAUAAAUACGAUCAAUGAUCAAUUAGGUUUGAUGAUUGAAAUCAACUCUUGAUAUUGAAGAUGUUCAAUCUGAUUUGGUUUUGAAAUAUAUGAUUAGUGUGGAUAGGGCUCAUUUGAUUUGUUGAUUAUGAUUGACAACAUUCAAUUGCAUGCUGAAUUUUAGUUUGACUUAAUGGCGUAAUUGCUGCCCCACUUGAAAAUACUUAAGAGCCCGGAAAAACUUCUUCUGGGAUUUUGACAAGUGUUUGUUCCUCAAUUUCAUCACUACCCUUUACAACACAAACAUUCGGUCUAACAACCUCAGACGAUAACAAACCUACAGUAACAAUACAACCAUCAACAAGUACCACGUGUUAGAUCAUUUGUCUGCCUUGUUACCCAUCCGCCACCACAACAAAUCUUCAAAUAAAAAACACAGUUCAGAAUCAACCCAACUGACCCAAAAUCAGGACCUGAAGAUAAGCUAAGAGGGGUUUUCAUUCAGAAACUGAACGGAAAAGUUGUUGUUAAACAAGCACUAACAACAGCUGCUGUUGAUGUUAAUGUGAACAAUAAUAUAGUUGCUAAAGUUGUCAACAGAGGAAACUUAGAUGGAGGGUCUAUGGUUAAGUUAUUUGAGUGGGCGAUCGAGCGAGCGAAGGACCAUGGUUGCGGAUGUUAGUAGUUAUAAUGUGGUUCUUAAAGCAUUAGGGAGAAGAAAGUUUUUUGCUUUUAUGGAGAGUGUUUUGAGUGAGAUGAGGAGUAAAGGGUUGAAGAUGGAUAACGAAACUUUUUUUAUUUUACGGAUAGUUUCGUUAAAGGUAAACGCGUCUCGAAAGCUUUACGUAUGUUUGGGAAAUUGGAAGAGUUUGGGAUGGAGUAUGAAAGGGAAAGUGUAGAUAUAUUGAAUCUUGCUUUGCAAGAAGAUUCCGGUGACUUACAAACCGCCGUUGUUAGUUACCGGAAUAAGUUCCCCCGGUCUCUUUUGCAACGCUUUCUUUAGACAUAUAGUGAAGUUCAAGGAUGGAAUCAUGACAUUGGUCAAUCAGUGAAGGAGUACAGUAUAUUGACUAUGCAAUCAGACAUGUACUUCUUAGACAGGUUUAAGUUAAAAGUACGGAAGCCCAGGAUUUAUACACAAAGCAAACGGUCUACUCAAGCCCUAGCAAUCCAAUCCGCACAUCCCGUCAUGGCAUAUGUAUAUGUUAGGUCAAAUCAAAGCUCAAAGGUCGCCAGAAACAAAUAACAGGGCUUGCUUUUUCAUAGACUUUAAACAUGCUGGUUUCAUCUGGUGCUGAUGCUCAGGCAAGUGGUGGAUGAGCUGGUGUCUGAUAAUUAUUUUGGGAUAUAGAAUAUUAAAUAAUAUUAGAUUCAUGUUUUUUGUUCUUACCACCACUGAAUGUUUUGACUGAAUUACAACUGUGUAUCUGGAACAUUAAUGGAUGGGAGAAGAGGAAAUCACGAAGCAUACAAUCGCCACCUGGACAUCCAUCCUCACUGGUUGGAGAAACUAAAGUUCAGUUCCAUAAUGAUCAACGGCAUCCCUCCUUGUUGUAUAUGAAAGUCAAAUUGCCAUUUAUGACCACCAACUGGAAUGCUUGAAGUUGGUAAAUAGUUGGACUCAC